UACGAAUGGAGCGAGCGUUGUUCGGAAUCACUGGGCGUAAAGCGUGCGCAGGCGGUUUUGAAAGUUAGAAGUGAAAGCCCAGGGCUUAACCCUGGAAUUGCUUUUAAAACUCCAAGACUAGAGUACUGGAGAGGUUGGCGGAAUUCCGAGUGUAGCAGUGAAAUGCGUAGAUAUUCGGAGGAACACCGAUGGCGUAGGCAGCCAACUGGACAGUUACUGACGCUCAUGCACGAAAGCGUGGGAAUCAAACAGG
RNAcentral lists this ribosomal RNA (253 nucleotides) under uncultured bacterium. RNAcentral describes it as "partial 16S ribosomal RNA". It matches the Rfam family "Bacterial small subunit ribosomal RNA", at positions 524 to 776 of the family's 1533-position model. The record is from RNAcentral.